This 468-nucleotide ribosomal RNA is filed under the name uncultured bacterium. Its description in RNAcentral is "partial 16S ribosomal RNA". It matches the Rfam family "Bacterial small subunit ribosomal RNA", at positions 28 to 507 of the family's 1533-position model. The record is from RNAcentral.
GACGAACGCUGGCGGCGUGCUUAACACAUGCAAGUCGAACGGAAAGGCCCUGCUUUUGUGGGGUGCUCGAGUGGCGAACGGGUGAGUAACACGUGAGUAACCUGCCCUUGACUUUGGGAUAACUUCAGGAAACUGGGGCUAAUACCGGAUAGGAGCUCCUGCUGCAUGGUGGGGGUUGGAAAGUUUCGGCGGUUGGGGAUGGACUCGCGGCUUAUCAGCUUGUUGGUGGGGUAGUGGCUUACCAAGGCUUUGACGGGUAGCCGGCCUGAGAGGGUGACCGGGCACAUGGGGCCUGCGAUACGGCCCAGAAUCCUACGGGAGGCAGCAGUGGGGAAUAUUGCACAAUGGGCGGAAGCCUGAGGCAGCAACGCCGCGUGCGGGAUGACGGCUUUCGGGUUGUAAACCGAUUUCUCCUGUGACGAAGCGUGAGUGACGGUAAUGGGUAAAGAAGCAACGGCUAACUACGUG